CUACAGAGGGUGCGAGCGUUAAUCGGAAUUACUGGGCGUAAAGCGCGCGUAGGCGGCUUAUUAAGUCAGAUGUGAAAUCCCAGGGCUCAACCUUGGAACUGCAUCUGAUACUGGUAAGCUAGAGUUUAGGAGAGGGAAGUAGAAUUUCAGGUGUAGCGGUGAUAUGCAUAGAGAUCUGAAGGAAUACCAGUGGCGAAGGCGACUUCCUGGCCUAAAACUGACGCUGAGGUGCGAAAGCGUGGGUAGCAAACGGGAUUAGAUACCCUAGUAGUCC
RNAcentral lists this ribosomal RNA (274 nucleotides) under uncultured bacterium. RNAcentral's name for it is "partial 16S ribosomal RNA". It matches the Rfam family "Bacterial small subunit ribosomal RNA", at positions 523 to 796 of the family's 1533-position model. The record is from RNAcentral.